Molecule: unclassified non-coding RNA, 797 nt
Filed under: Hevea brasiliensis (rubber tree)
Lineage: Eukaryota; Viridiplantae; Streptophyta; Magnoliopsida; Malpighiales; Euphorbiaceae
Source: RNAcentral
AAUGGGGAUGCUAGACAUAUAUCCGCCUUUUGCGUCUCAAUUUCGCUCAGUUCGUCCUGUUUUCCCUUCCUAUUCUCCUUUGUAAAACACAAAAUUUAGAGAAUCGCAGAGGGAGAGAGUCUGAUUACACUCCUUUUAUGGACUUAAUGGAGUUCUUUGGCUAGUCGCUCUCUUCUUCGAUUUGCAUUUGAAAAUCAACGCACGGGCUUCAACGGAAUAUCUGGCUUUCAAGUUCUUCCGUUGAAAUCGAUAAAGAAGCUUAACAGGAUUCUUGAUUUCGAAGUUUUGAUAGACGAUAAUGGCUGGAUCAGACGAGAACCACCCUGGUGUGAUCGGACCCGUUAAUGUCCAAGGUGGUUUACCGGCCGGAGUUGGGAAGUUCACGACGGCGACUGGAAACAACCGCAGGGCAUUGAGUAACAUAAAUCGGAACAUAAUUGGAGCGCCACCUUACCCUUGUGCAGUCAACAAAAGAGGUUUAUCAGAGAAACAAUCAAUAUGCAGCAAGAACCCACCCAUUCCAGUGCAUCGACCAAUCACUAGGAAGUUUGCUGCCCAGCUAGCUAACAAGCAGCCAGAGGUACCUUUUUUCUGCUACCAAAGACCUUUCAUUUGUUGUUACUUGGGCUAGAUAGACAUACAGAGUGAGCGAUAGAACAAAUUUACUGAUAUUAGCAGGAAACCAAGAAACCAGAUAUUUCCGUCCCAAUUUCAAGCGAGUCAGAAGAUUGCAGUAUCAUAGAUGUAGAACAUUACAAGUCCACAGGUGACUUUUCUGUGCCUAUGUUUGUACAACA